UACGGAGGGUGCGAGCGUUUGUCCGGAAUCACUGGGCGUAAAGGGCGCGUAGGCGGCGCGGAUAGUCGGCGGUGAAAGCCCGGAGCUCAACUCCGGGUCGGCCGUCGAUACUUCCGGGCUUGAGCACUGUAGAGGCAGAUGGAAUUCCGGGUGUAGCGGUGGAAUGCGUAGAGAUCCGGAAGAACACCGGUGGCGAAGGCGGUCUGCUGGGCAGU
This 215-nucleotide ribosomal RNA is filed under the name uncultured bacterium. RNAcentral's name for it is "partial 16S ribosomal RNA". It matches the Rfam family "Bacterial small subunit ribosomal RNA", at positions 524 to 737 of the family's 1533-position model. The record is from RNAcentral.